Lucilia cuprina (Australian sheep blowfly) is the source of this 875-nucleotide long non-coding RNA. RefSeq lists it as uncharacterized. NCBI's taxonomy places the organism in Eukaryota, Metazoa, Arthropoda, Insecta, Diptera, Calliphoridae. The record is from RefSeq and is a predicted model, not a curated record. The transcript is spliced from 4 exons.
UUAAUAAACUCUACCCCAUAAGAAACUUUAAAAAAUAAAUCAAAAAAGUAAACAAUAAUCUCUAAAGAUAUUCUUUUUUUUUUUUGCAUUUCUUAACAUUUUUCACCAUUCAAUAUGAUGUGAUUAUGAGCAAACAAGAUAAUCUUUGUUUUGUUGCAUGAAGUAAUAGAAGUAUAGUUUGGUGGAAAGGGACCAAAACGAAGUAUCUGGAAUUUUAUCAGAUAAAUCUUAUAUAAUAUACGCUAUAAGCAUAACAAUACAUGGGGAACGAAUAAUACGCAUACAUGGGAAAUAAAUUGCAAAAAGAAAAAAAAAACAACAACAAACAUGUUCAAAUGAAUUGAAUUGAAGAAAUAACGAUGGUGAACAGAACAUUCAUGCUAUGGAGCGAAAAGAAGCGUUAAGUAUUCCCUUUUUUACAUAAUAAAACUGAGUACUUGUGCAUAAAAUAUCUAGAGAUUUGUGGAUAUAAAUAUAAACUUACAAAGGAUAUGGAAACCCUUUCAAUAACGAAAUUGUGAAUAGAAAAAAAUAAGUAUGUAAUUUUUCAUUUCCACUUCAAUAAAUUCUGCAAUGUCAACAAUAUCGUCAAUAUGAGUAUGUACUCCAUGGCGGAUUCGAAAAGAUGAUGUGAAAUAUUUUUAAUUUGUUUUUGAUUACAGUAAAUAAUCAAGAAAUAAAUUGUCAUCAUUAAAAAGCAACACAUUGCUCUGACACUUGAUGCCUUGGCAACAAUAAAAACAACAAUUAUAAUGCAUAGUAAAUAUAGCCAAGUAAGUUUGUGCGGGAGGGGGGUUGUGGUACAAGAAUGUGUUAGUCUUAAAAGGCAUUUAAUAUAUAGAGUCUAUAUACAACAUUAACAUUAAAACAACAAU